CCUAGUUUACCAUGACCUCUUCAGAGACCCUCUGAACUGGUCACAACCUGGGGAAGCUGCUCCUGAAGGACCUCUAAAAGCCUUGAGAUCCAUGUGCAGAAGGACAGACCGUGGCUCUGUCACCAUCGCCCUUGACUCUCUCAGCUGGCUGCUAUGUCACAUUCCCUGUGUUACACUCUGUCAAGCCCUACAUGCUCUGAGCCAGCGAAAUGUAGACCCAGGUGCAGGGUCUGUUUUCGAGGGUUUUCUGGAAUCGAGAACAUCUGCCUCCACUGCUAGAGCUCUAGCAUACACCUAAAUUAAGAGAGCUGUGAGGAUUUUGUUUGGAUUACAUUUUUUUGUGUGAUUCUUGUCUGCACAUACUUCUGUGCACCGUGCGCUUGCCUGGUGGAGGAUGUGCAGGGUCUGGCUGGGCAGAGAGGAUGGUCCACCCUGAGCGUCUGAUCUGCUUUUGCCUCCUGGCUGAGUACAGGCCUGUACUUCCAUGCAGUGUACAGGGCGCUAAGGCUGGAGGCCAGGGGUGAUGUGAGCCAGGCAGCUGUGCUCAAUAGCUCAUUCCUCCUUUAACAAGUAUAACAAGUGCAUCAUCAGGUACAAUUUUAAAUAAUGGAAAAGCAAAGGCUGACCUUUCAGGUCAUAAAAAAUAUAAAAAAGUAAAUGGCUGGAAAUAAAUUCCACACUUAC
RNAcentral lists this long non-coding RNA (684 nucleotides) under Rattus norvegicus (Norway rat). Its description in RNAcentral is "long non-coding RNA NONRATT005604". The record is from RNAcentral. Lineage: Eukaryota; Metazoa; Chordata; Mammalia; Rodentia; Muridae.